GACGAACGCUGGCGGCGUGCUUAACACAUGCAAGUCGAACGGUGAAGCGCCUUCCUUUUUGGUGGGUGUGGAUGAGUGGCGAACGGGUGAGUAACACGUGAGUAACCUGCCCCCUUCUUCUGGAUAACCGCAUGAAAGUGUGGCUAAUACGGGAUAUUCUGGGUCUGUCGCAUGAUGGGUCUGGGAAAGAUAUUGUUUCGGUGGGGGAUGGGCUCGCGGCCUAUCAGCUUGUUGGUGGGGUGAUGGCCUACCAAGGCGGUGACGGGUAGCCGGCCUGAGAGGGUGGACGGUCACACUGGGAGUGAGACACGGCCCAGACUCCUACGAGAGGCAGCAGUGGGGGAUAUUGCACAAUGGGGGCAAGCCUGAUGCAGCGACGCCGCGGGAGGGAUGGAGGCCUUCGGGUUGUGAACCUCUUUCGCCAGUGAAGCAGGCCUGCCUCGUUUGUGGGUGGGUUGACGGUAGCUGGAUAAGAAGCGCCGGCUAACUACGUG
This 494-nucleotide ribosomal RNA is filed under the name uncultured bacterium. RNAcentral describes it as "partial 16S ribosomal RNA". It matches the Rfam family "Bacterial small subunit ribosomal RNA", at positions 28 to 507 of the family's 1533-position model. The record is from RNAcentral.